RNAcentral lists this ribosomal RNA (253 nucleotides) under uncultured bacterium. Its description in RNAcentral is "partial 16S ribosomal RNA". It matches the Rfam family "Bacterial small subunit ribosomal RNA", at positions 524 to 776 of the family's 1533-position model. The record is from RNAcentral.
UACGUAGGUGGCAAGCGUUAUCCGGAUUUAUUGGGCGUAAAGGGAACGCAGGCGGUCUUUUAAGUCUGAUGUGAAAGCCUUCGGCUUAACCGGAGUAGUGCAUUGGAAACUGGGAGACUUGAGUGCAGAAGAGGAGAGUGGAACUCCAUGUGUAGCGGUGAAAUGCGUAGGUAUAUGGAGGAACACCGGUGGCGAAAGCGGCUCUCUGGCCUGUAACUGACACUGAGGCUCGAAAGCGUGGGGAGCAAACAGG